Molecule: long non-coding RNA, 900 nt
Organism: Lolium perenne
Lineage: Eukaryota; Viridiplantae; Streptophyta; Magnoliopsida; Poales; Poaceae
Source: RefSeq, a predicted model, not a curated record
GGAAGCGGACCAACCCUAUCCCCCCUUUAUCCUCUUUCUCCACACACGAACCCAACCAGCACCCCCGCACGCGCUUCCCUUCCGCCGCCGCCUCUCCGCCUCCGGCAAAUGCCACCUGUCGACGUCCAGGGCACCUUCUCGCGCCGCGCCUCACCUUGCUCCAAGCCAGCCGCGCCGCCCAUGCUCUAUUGGCCGACGCAGUCUACCCCCGCCAGAGCCGCGCUCCGCCAUCCGUAUCGCUCCACUACAGUGGAGACUGCGAGCGCCUCGUUCUGGCCAGCAGAGCAGCUCCGGCGACGGCGGGUUCUCAUCUUGCUGGGCCUCCUCGCAAAUCCAUGAGACUUCACCCUCCGGCCGACAGCGCGCCAUCCCCAUCUUCCCCCCUCGACGAGAGGCAUUCCAUGCUCCGAUCGACCGACGCCUACUGAUUCCCACACCAUGUCUGUUCCCUCUGCCUCCUCUCUUAAUUUCAAUCGACAGGCUCACACACAGCAAUGGGCACAUUGAUUAUUUCCAAUCUGAUUGGAUCUUAUUCUUAGACCAAACAAUGGCGCUGCUGGUUGUUCUUUUCCAAGGCGGCUUGUUAAUUCCUACAAUAAUUAGCAUAUAUAAAGCGGUGAUACUCGGUCUAACCAAGCGAUGUGGGACUAUUAUAGAAACAAAACAUCCAGACCUCGCUGCCUUUGGAUUGGACGGGACGGACUGCGGCGGUCCAUUGAUAUGGAUCAGGCCCUACAACCCAGCUAUCUGGCCCGGCAGGAUCAACAGUUCACGGGAGAAGGGGAUCGAGCGGAGGCCUGGGCAAAUAAAAUCACGAACCGGUACUAUGGUAACAUGUGUUAUGUGUAUUAUGCGAAUUGGUGGGAGGGCAAAACGGUCCAAAAAAAAGCGUUGACGAAA